GGCAUGCCCGGUGGUGGAAUGGAGGGCAACUCUGAAGAUGGAAUGGUGGACACGCAGGGGCACGGAGGUGGAA
Molecule: long non-coding RNA, 73 nt
Organism: Protobothrops mucrosquamatus (brown spotted pit viper)
Lineage: Eukaryota; Metazoa; Chordata; Lepidosauria; Squamata; Viperidae
Exons: 3
Source: RefSeq, a predicted model, not a curated record